This 252-nucleotide ribosomal RNA is filed under the name Rhodobacteraceae bacterium CG17_big_fil_post_rev_8_21_14_2_50_63_15. Its description in RNAcentral is "partial 23S ribosomal RNA". It matches the Rfam family "Bacterial large subunit ribosomal RNA", at positions 2667 to 2925 of the family's 2925-position model. Lineage: Bacteria; Pseudomonadati; Pseudomonadota; Alphaproteobacteria; Rhodobacterales; Paracoccaceae. The record is from RNAcentral.
AGGAGUUGCCCCUAGUACGAGAGGACCGGGGUGAACGAACCACUGGUGGACCUGUUGUGGCGCCAGCCGCAGUGCAGGGUAGCUAAGUUCGGACAGGAUAACCGCUGAAGGCAUCUAAGCGGGAAGCCCCCCUCAAAACAAGGUAUCCCUGAGGGCCGUGGUAGACCACCACGUCGAUAGGCCGGAGAUGUAAGCGCAGCAAUGCGUUCAGUUGACCGGUACUAAUCGCCCGAUAGGCUUGAUUUGAUCCAG